GGGAGGGUACUGCGGAGACAUUACCUAGAGUUUGUGGGCUUUGCCCGCUACCUC
Molecule: ribosomal RNA, 54 nt
Filed under: Phoma sp. Fanqin18
Lineage: Eukaryota; Fungi; Ascomycota; Dothideomycetes; Pleosporales; Didymellaceae
Description: partial 18S ribosomal RNA
Source: RNAcentral